This 31137-nucleotide long non-coding RNA is filed under the name Zea mays. Its description in RNAcentral is "long non-coding RNA (ZMAY_LNC001257)". The record is from RNAcentral. Lineage: Eukaryota; Viridiplantae; Streptophyta; Magnoliopsida; Poales; Poaceae.
CGCGGCUCUCCUCCGCCAAGUCCUCAGCCUGGGAAGGUAUAUAUGUAUGCUCUGUUGUGCAUAAAAAAAGAAGAAGACAGCAUGUUGUUUCACUGAAUGUUAAUGUAUUCUUUAUACCUUCCGACUUUCUUUUCUGUCCUCCUUUUGUUUUACUGAAGUUGGUUUCGAUUUCAUGCUUUUUCUCGAGUUUCUUUAUCUCGGGUUUUUUGGUUUCCAAUCCCACUCGGUUUUGCUCAACAUGGUUUGGAUUUUCAGUUUUUUUCCUGAAGAAAAAAAGGAUGCUCCAUGUUCCCUAUUGUUCAAUUUAAUCUCUGGUUCUUGUGCUUUAGAUCUUCUAAAUCUUCGCCCUUUUUACUGAAAGGGAAAUGUGCCCUUGGGCCAUUUCUAAGUAUUGUGGUGAUUGAGUGCCAACACAAGUGCUUAAAUGUGAAUUUAUGCUCAUGGAUGGACAAAGUGCAAAUCAAGAGUAAAGGUAUGUUUCUAAGCUUUAGUACAUUGGUUUUGUGUACUAAUAUACUUGUCUAAAUGUUAGAAACAGAAAGAAGAAGAAAAGAAAAGAGGUGAAAAAGGACUGGCUGUGUACAGCCAAGACUCAGCUCAGUCUGGCACACCGGACUGUCCGGUGGUGCACCGGACAGUAUCCGGUGCGCCAGGCUGACUCGGCGUGAAGUGGCCGCUCUCGGGAAUUUACCGGCGACGUACGGCUAUAAUUCACCGGACUGUCCGGUGUGCACCGGACUGUCCGGUGAGCCAACGUUCGGCCGCGCGAUCUGCGCGGGACACGUGGCCGAGCCAACGGCUAGAAGGGAGCACCGGACUGUCCGGUGUGCACCGGACAUGUCCGGUGCGCCAACGGCUCCAAGUCAGCCAACGGUCGACUUCGCCAUUUAAGGAAGGAAAUCGGGCACCGGACAGUGUCCGGUGUGCACCGGACUGUCCGGUGCGCCACGCGACAGAAGGCAAGAAUUGCCUUCCCUGUUUGCUCUCAACGGCUCCUAGCUGCCUUGGGGCUAUAAAAGGGACCCCUAGGCGCAUGGAGGAGAAAAACAAGCAACCUAAGAGCAUUCUUGAUCAUCCACACUCAGUCUUUGCGCAUUCGUUUGUCAUUCUCAGUGAUUCGAGCUCCGUUCUAGUGAGAACUUUGAGAUAGUCAUUUGAGCUCGAUUCUUGGCCGUGUGUGUGCGUAUUUUGCUGUGGAUUUGUGUGUGUUGCUUCCCUCCCUUACUUCGUAUUUCUUUGUGAAUCUCAAGUGUAAGGGCGAGAGACUCCAAGUUGUGGAGAUUCCUCGCAAACGGGAAAAGAUCAAAGUAAAGAAAAACACUAUGGUAUUCAAGUUGAUCAUUGGAUCACUUGAGAGGAGUUGAGUGCAACUCUCGUCCGUUGGGACGCCACAACGUGGAGUAGGCAAGCGUUGGUCUUGGCCGAACCACGGGAUAAACCACUGUGUCAUCUCUGUGUUUGAUCUCUUGUGGUAUUGUGUUUUGUUGAGACUCCUCUCUAGCCACUUGGCGAUUAUUGUGCUAACACUUAACAAGUUUUUGUGGCUAUAAGUUUAAGUUUCACAUGAUCACCUAUUCACCCCCCCUCCAGGUGCUCUCAAUUGGUAUCAAAGCCGUUCUCUUCACAAAGGGACUAACCGCCCGAAGAGAUGGAUCCUAAAGGGAAGGGAAUCGUGAUCAACGACAAGGAGGAGUCCUUCGUCAACGAGCCAAGGGAUGACAAGUCCAACGACUCGGGCUCGGGCCACAGACGCAAAGAUGGGAAGAAGAAGAAGACAAGACGCAUCAAGGAGAUCGUCUACUACGACAGUGAUGAGUCUACUUCCUCCCAAAAGGACGACGACCACAACGAAUACGAGAGAAAGAAACCGGUCAAUUCGAACUUUUCUUUUGAUUACUCUCGUAUUCCUCAAAGUACUAAUGCUCAUUUAUUAUCUAUUCCACUUGGUAAACCUCCUCAUUUUGAUGGAGAGGACUACGGAUUUUGGAGUCACAAAAUGCGUAGUCACUUGUUCUCUCUCCAUCCUAGCAUAUGGGAGAUUGUAGAAAGUGGAAUGCACUUUGAUAGUACGGAUAGUCCCAUGUUUAUUAAUGAACAGAUUCAUAAAAAUGCACAAACUACUACUGUGUUGCUAGCCUCUUUGUGCAGGGACGAGUACCAUAAGGUGAGCGGCUUGGACAAUGCCAAGCAGAUCUGGGACACCCUCAAGAUCUCUCAUGAAGGGAAUGAUGUCACCUUGCUCACCAAGAUGGAGUUGGUAGAGGGCGAGCUUGGACGGUUCGCAAUGAUAAGGGGCGAGGAGCCAACUCAAACAUACAACCGGCUCAAGACCCUUAUCAACAAAAUAAGGAGCUACGGAAGCACGCGAUGGACGGAUCACGACGUCGUCCGCCUAAUGCUAAGGUCCUUUACCGUUCUUGAUCCUCAUUUGGUGAACAAUAUUCGUGAAAAUCCUAGGUACACCAAGAUGUCGCCCGAAGAAGUUCUAGGGAAGUUCGUAAGCGGGCGAAUGAUGAUCAAGGAGGCAAGAUAUGUGGACGACGCGUUGAACGGUCCUAUUCAUGAGCCUCAACCCAUUGCUCUCAAGGCAACGAGGAGCAAGGAGGCGCUACCGAGCAAGGUGGCGCAAGUUGAGGCGGCCGGGCUAAAUAAUGAGGAGAUGGCCCUCAUCAUUAAGCGCUUCAAGACGGCGCUUAAAGGUCGCAAGGGACAGCCAAGCAAGACCAAGACAAAGGAGAAGCGCUCGUGCUUCAAAUGUGGUAAGAUUGGUCAUUUCAUUGCUAAUUGUCCCGAUAAUGAAAGUGACCAGGAAAAGGGGAACAAAAGGGAGAAGAAGAAGCAUUACAAGAAGGCCAAGGGCGAGGCACAUAUCGGAAAGGAGUGGGAUUCGGAUUGCUCCUCCUCCGACUCCGACAAUGAAGGACUCGCCGCCACCGCCUUCAACAAGUCAUCUCUCUUCCCCAACGAGCAUCACACUUGCCUCAUGGCAAGGGAGAAGAAAGUAAGCACUCAUGACACUAGUACUUAUGCUUCUUCAAGUGAGGAUGAGUCUAGUGAUGAUGAUGAGAUAGAUUACUCAUGCUUAUUCAAGGGAUUAGAUAGAUCUAAAAUUAAUAAGAUUAAUGAGUUGAUUGAUGCUUUGAAUGACAAGAAUAGAUUACUAGAAAAACAAGAAGAUCUUUUAUAUGAGGAGCAUGAUAAAUUUGUUAGUGCACAAAAUUCUCUUGCUCUAGAAAUUAAAAGGAAUGAAAUGCUCUCUGGUGAAUUAUCUACUUGCCAUGAAACCAUUUCUACUUUACAAGGUGUUAACAAUGAUUUAAAUGCUAAAUUAGAAGUAGCAAAUAAAUCUAAUUCUUGUGUAGAACAUGUUAUAAUCUGUACUAGGUGUAAAGAUUUUGACAUUGAUGCUUGUAGUGAACACCUAGUUUCAAUUUCCAAACUUAAUGGUGAAUUGGCUAGUCUUAAUGCUCAACUUAAGACUAGCAAGAAUGAUUUUGAUAAGCUAAAAUUUGCAAGGGAUGCCUACACGAUUGGUAGACACCCCUCAAUUAAGGAUGGACUUGGCUUCAAGAGGGAAGCCAAGAACUUAACAAGUCAUAAGGCUCCCAUCUCCGCCAAGGAGAAAGGGAAGGCCCCUAUGGCAAGUAGUGCUAAAAAGAACCAUGCUUUUAUGUACCAUGAUAAGAGACAAACUAGAAAUGCUUAUAGGAGUUACAAUGCUUAUGAUGAUUUUGAUUCUCAUGACAUGUUUGCUUCUAGUUCUUUCUAUGUGCAUGAUAGAAAUGUUGGUAGGAGAAAUGUUGUUCAUAAUGUUCCUAGGAAAGUUAAUGAACCUUCUACAAUAUAUCAUGCUUUGAAUGCUUCCUUUGCAAUUUGUAGAAAGAAUAGAAAGGUGAUUGCUAGGAAAUUAGGGGCAAAAUGCAAGGGAGAUAAAACUUGCAUUUGGGUCCCUAAGACAAUUGUGACUAACCUUGUAGGACCCAACAAGAGUUGGGUACCUAAGUCCCAAGCCUAAAUUUGCCUUGCAGGUUUAUGCAUCCGGGGGUUCAAGCUGGAUUAUCGACAGCGGAUGCACAAACCAUAUGACGGGGGAGAAGAAGAUGUUCACCUCCUACGUCAAGAAUAAGGAUUCCCAAGAUUCAAUUAUAUUCGGUGAUGGGAAUCAAGGCAAGGUAAAAGGGUUAGGUAAAAUUGCAAUUUCUAAUGAGCACUCUAUCUCUAAUGUGUUUUUAGUAGAGUCUCUUGAAUAUAAUUUGCUAUCGGUUAGUCAAUUAUGCAAUAUGGGAUAUAACUGUCUAUUUGCAAAUGUAGAUGUGUCUGUCUUUAGAAGAAGUGAUGGUUCACUAGCUUUUAAGGGUGUAUUAGACGGCAAACUUUAUUUAGUUGAUUUUGCAAAAGAAGAGGCCGGUCUAGAUGCAUGCUUAAUAGCUAAGACUAGCAUGGGAUGGCUGUGGCAUCGCCGCUUAGCACAUGUGGGGAUGAAGAACCUCCACAAGCUUCUAAAGGGAGAACACGUGAUAGGAUUAACUAAUGUGCAAUUCGAAAAAGAUAGACCUUGUGCAGCUUGUCAGGCAGGUAAACAAGUGGGAGGAGCACAUCACAGCAAGAAUGUGAUGACCACAUCAAGACCCUUGGAACUGCUACAUAUGGAUCUCUUCGGACCCGUCGCCUAUCUAAGCAUAGGAGGAAGUAAGUAUGGUCUAGUUAUUGUUGAUGACUUUUCCCGCUUUACUUGGGUGUUCUUUUUGCAGGAUAAGUCUGAAACCCAAGGGACCCUCAAGCGCUUCCUCAGAAGAGCUCAAAAUGAGUUUGAGCUCAAGGUGAAGAAGAUAAGGAGCGACAACGGGUCCGAGUUCAAGAACCUUCAAGUGGAGGAGUUCCUUGAGGAGGAAGGGAUCAAGCACGAGUUCUCCGCUCCCUACACACCACAGCAAAAUGGUGUGGUAGAGAGGAAGAACAGGACGCUAAUCGAUAUGGCAAGGACGAUGCUUGGAGAAUUCAAGACCCCCGAGCGUUUUUGGUCGGAAGCCGUGAACACGGCUUGCCACGCCAUCAACAGGGUCUACCUUCAUCGCCUCCUCAAGAAGACUUCGUAUGAGCUACUAACCAGUAACAAACCCAAUGUAUCUUACUUUCGUGUAUUUGGGAGCAGGUGCUACAUUCUAGUGAAGAAGGGUAGAAAUUCUAAAUUUGCUCCCAAAGCUGUAGAAGGGUUUUUGUUAGGUUAUGACUCAAAUACAAAGGCGUAUAGAGUCUUCAACAAAUCAUCGGGUUUGGUUGAAGUCUCUAGCGACGUUGUAUUUGAUGAGACUAAUGGCUCUCCAAGAGAGCAAGUUGUUGAUUGUGAUGAUGUAGAUGAAGAAGAUGUUCUGACGGCCGCUAUACGAACCAUGGCGAUUGGAGAAGUGCGGCCACAGGAACAAGAUGAACGAGAUCAACCUUCUUCCUCAACAACGGUGCAUUCCCCAACUCAAGACGAUGAACAGGUUCAUCAAAAGGAGGCGUGUGAUCAAGGGGGAGCACAAGAUGAUCACGUGAUGGAGGAAGAAGCGCAACCGGCACCUCCAACCCAAGUUCGAGCGGUGAUUCAAAGGGAUCAUCCCGUCGACCAAAUUUUGGGUGACAUUAGCAAGGGAGUAACUACUCGAUCUCGAUUAGUUAAUUUUUGUGAGCAUUACUCCUUUGUCUCUUCUAUUGAGCCUUUCAGGGUAGAGGAGGCCUUGCUAGAUCCGGAUUGGGUAUUGGCCAUGCAGGAGGAACUCAACAACUUCAAGCGCAAUGAAGUUUGGACACUGGUGCCUCGUCCCAAGCAAAAUGUUGUGGGAACCAAGUGGGUGUUCCGCAACAAACAGGACGAGCACGGGGUGGUGACGAGGAACAAGGCUCGACUUGUGGCAAAAGGUUAUGCCCAAGUCGCAGGUUUGGACUUUGAGGAGACGUUUGCUCCUGUGGCUAGGCUAGAAUCAAUUCGUAUCUUGCUAGCAUAUGCCGCUCACCAUUCUUUCAGGUUGUACCAAAUGGAUGUGAAGAGCGCUUUCCUCAAUGGGCCAAUCAAGGAGGAGGUGUACGUGGAGCAACCCCCUGGCUUCGAGGAUGAACGGUACCCCGACCACGUGUGUAAGCUCUCUAAGGCGCUCUAUGGACUUAAGCAAGCCCCAAGAGCAUGGUAUGAAUGCCUUAGAGAUUUCUUAAUUGCUAAUGCUUUCAAGGUUGGGAAAGCCGAUCCAACUCUUUUCACUAAGACAUGUGAUGGUGAUUUGUUUGUGUGCCAAAUUUAUGUCGAUGACAUAAUAUUUGGUUCUACUAAUAAAAAGUCUUGUGAAGAGUUUAGCAGGGUGAUGACGCAGAAAUUCGAGAUGUCAAUGAUGGGCGAGUUGAACUACUUCCUUGGGUUCCAAGUGAAGCAACUCAAGGACGGCACCUUCAUCUCUCAAACGAAGUACACGCAAGACCUGCUGAAGCGGUUUGGGAUGAAGGACGCCAAGCCCGCAAAGACUCCGAUGGGGACCGACGGACACACUGAUCUCAACAAAGGAGGUAAGUCUGUUGAUCAAAAGGCAUACCGGUCAAUGAUAGGGUCAUUACUUUACUUAUGUGCUAGUAGACCAGAUAUUAUGCUUAGCGUAUGCAUGUGUGCUAGAUUUCAAUCCGAUCCUAAGGAGUGUCACUUAGUGGCAGUGAAGCGAAUCCUUAGAUAUUUAGUUGCUACGCCUUGCUUCGGGCUCUGGUAUCCAAAGGGGUCUACCUUUGACUUGAUUGGAUAUUCAGACUCCGACUAUGCUGGAUGUAAGGUCGAUAGGAAGAGUACAUCGGGGACGUGCCAAUUCUUAGAAAGGUCCCUGGUGUCAUGGAACUCUAAGAAACAAACUUCCGUUGCCCUAUCCACCGCUGAGGCCGAGUAUGUUGUCGCAGGACAGUGUUGCUCGCAACUACUUUGGAUGAGGCAAACCCUCAGGGACUUUGGCUACAAUCUGAGCAAAGUCCCACUCCUAUGUGAUAAUGAGAGUGCUAUCCGCAUGGCGGAAAAUCCUGUUGAGCACAGCCGCACAAAGCACAUAGACAUCCGGCAUCACUUUUUGAGAGACCACCAGCAAAAGGGAGAUAUCGAAGUGUUUCAUGUUAGCACCGAGAACCAGCUAGCCGAUAUCUUUACCAAGCCUCUAGAUGAGAAGACCUUUUGCAGGUUGCGUAGUGAGCUAAAUGUCCUAGAUUCGCGGAACUUGGAUUGAUUUAUUGCAUACAUGUGUAUAUGCCUUUGAUCAUGUUCCUUAUGCAUUUUGUUGCUUAAUAAUGGUGCUCAAGUUGUACAAACACUCCCUGGACCUCACAAGUCCGUUGCAAUGUGAUGCACAUGUUUAGGGGGAGAUGUGUUACAACUUGACCCUUUGAGACUAACCAUGUGCUUGAGUUUGCUUGUUUUAGUCUCAAAGGUGGUUUUGAAGGGAAAAAGUGGACUUCGACCAUGAAAGACUUCCACUGCACUCCGAUGAGAGGGUAACUUAUUCCAAGUUCAUCUCAUGUACUCUUAUUGCCUUUAUAUUCUUGUCGGCGUUUCGAGACAGGGGGGUCCCUAAGCCGACGAGUGAGUGUGCUGCGUGCCCCAGCCCAGAUGGGUCGAGCGCGUGGGCGAGCGCGAAGGGGGGAGAGGCGAGGUGGCCGGAGUCGGGCGUGAGAGAGGUGGAAGUCCCGCGGCCUUCGUGUUCGUCCCGCGCCCAGGUCGGGUGUGCUUGCAGUAGGGGGGUUACAAGCGUCCACGCGGGUGAGGGAAGCGAGCGGCCCCAAGAGAGCGCCUGUCCCGUCCUCGGUCCCGCGUGGCCAACCUUCUCUAAGAAGGCCCUGGUCCUCCCUUUUAUAGUCGUAAGGAGAGGAUCCAGGUGUACAAUGGGGGGUGUAGCAGAGUGCUACGUGUCUAGCGGAGAGAGAGCUAGCGCCCUAGGUACAUGCCAAUGUGGCAGCCGGAGAGGUCUUGGCACCUUGCUGGCGUGAUGUCGUAGCUGUCGGAGGAGCGACGGAGCCUGGCGGAGGGACAGCUGUUGGAGCGGUCGAGUCCUUGCUGACGUCGCCCUGCUUCCGUAAGAGAGCUGAGGGCCGCCGUCGUCACAGAGCUCGUGGAGCGCCAUCAUUGCCCAUCCGGCGGAGCUGGCCGGAUGGGACGCCGGUCUUGUUCUCCGUGUCCCGAGUCGAUUCGGGGUAGGACGAUGAUGGCGCUUCCUGUUGACGUGGCGGGCCUGUGCCCUAGGCAGGGCGACGUGGGGGCUCCUCCGAAGCUGAGGUCGAGUCUGUCUUCCGUUGCCGAGGCCGAGGCCGAGCCCCCGGGUCGGGCGAGGCGGAGAUCGUUUGGCCGAGGCCAGGGCGGAGUCCGAGCCCUGGGGUCGGGCGAGGCGGAGUUCGUCGUCUUCUGGGUCUUAGCCCGAGUCCGAGCCCUGGGGUCGGGCGGAGCGGAGUUCGUCGUCCGGGUCUUAGCCUGAGUCCGAGCCCUGGGGUCGGGCGGAGCGGAGUUCGCCGUCUUCCGGGUCUUAGCCCGAGUCCGAGCCCUGGGGUCGGGCGGAGCGGAGUUCGCCGUCUUCCGGGUCUUAGCCCGAGUCCGAGCCCUGGGGUCGGGCGGAGCGGAGUUCGCCGUCUUCCGGGUCUUAGCCCGAGUCCGAGCCCUGGGGUCGGGCGGAGCGGAGUUCGCCGUCUUCCGGGUCUUAGCCCGAGUCCGAGCCCUGGGGUCGGGAGGAGCGGAGUUCGCUAUGGCGCCUUUGGCAAGGCCUGACUGCCUGUCAGACUCACUCUGUCGAGUGGCACUGCAGUCGGAGUGGCGCAGGCGGCGCUGUCCUUCUGUCAGACUGGUCAGUGGAGCGGUGGAGUGACGGCGGUCACUUCGGCUCUGCCGGGGGGCGCGUGUCAGGAUAAAGGUGUCAGGCCACCUUUGUGUUAAAUGCUCCUGCAACUUGGUCAGUCGGUGUGGCGAUUUAGUCAGGGUUGCUUCUGAGCGAAGCCAAGGCCUCGGGCGAGCCGGUGGUGUGUCCGCCGUUAAAAGGGGGGCCUCGGGCGAGACGGAAGUCUCUCGAGGUCGGCUGCUCUCGGCCGAGGCUAGGCUCGGGUGAAGCGUGAUCGAGUCACUCGUGUGGACUGAUCCCUGACUUAAUCGUACCCAUCAGGCCUUUGCAGCUUUAUGCUGAUGGGGGUUACCAGCUGAGAAUUAGGCGUCUUGAGGGUACCCCUAAUUAUGGUCCCCGACAGUAGCCCCCGAGCCUCGAAGGGAGUGUUAGCACUCGCUUGGAGGCUUUCGUCGCACUUUUUUGCAAGGGGACCAGCCUUUCUCGGUUGCAUUUUGUUCCGGUGGGUGCGCGCGAGCGCACCCGCCGGGUGUAGCCCCCGAGGCCUCGGAGGAGUGGUUACACUCCUUCGAGGUCUUAAUGCCUUGCGUAAUGCUUCGGCUGGUCUGGUCGUUCCCUCAUGCGAACUGGCCAUAGCCCGGGUGCACGGUCGGGGCCCAAGCUCUCGGGCUGGUAUGUUGACGCUGUCAACGGUUUGGCCGGAGCCGGUUUUGCGAGAGCAGCCCCCGAGCCCCUGCACAGGGCGAGAGGACGAUCAGGGACAGACUCGGCUUUUUUACAUACGCCCCUAUGUCACCUUUCCGCAAGGAGGAGGGGGGGAGAGCGCCAUGUUACCCUCGAUGGGCACCGAACAUGGUGUCUCCGGUGAGCUGCAAGCGGGUAAUCCGAGUGGACGUCCGUGCCCCGUUCGUUGGGGGUCGGCUAGGGGCCCAGAGGCACGGCCAAAAGUACCUGCGGGUGAUUUGCCGGACCCGGUCCCCUGGCGACGGGGUCCGAGGGCUCGAUGCCUCCCUCCGAUGGGAUUCCGUUACAAGAUCGUUCCCGCUGGUCUCGGAAAUGUCCUAGGGUACCUCGGGAGCGCAGCCCGAGCCUCGGUUAUGUAUCGAACGUACCCCUGGUCAUCCCUCGCUCGGUGUCUGAGGCGACUGUGAACCCUUCGGGGGCCAGCCUUCGAACCCCUGAUCAGUAAUGGGCGCGGAGCCCGAGUAGCCUGAGGCGGCCAUGGAACCCUUCGGGGGGCUGGCCUUCGAACCCCUGACCAGUAGUGGGUGUCGGGCCCACGCGAUCUGAGGCGACUGUUGAACCCUUCGGAGGGCCAGUCUUCGAACCCCUGAUCAGUAGGGGGGGCUCGGAGCCCGGUUCCUUCGCAGAGAAGGAUCCUUUUCGGGGUAUCCCCCUUUCCCGGUCCCUGUUGCAAGAGAUAGAGAAAGAGGAAAAAGGAAAGGGAUACGAAAUCGAACGACGUGGCGUACCUUUUUUGACGCGGUUAUUACGGCGAAAGCGAAGCGUCGCGCGCUUCUCCCGCCAGAGGCGCCGCGUGUCCCGCCGCGGAGUUAAUGCGACGGGGCGAGUGGUUGGCGGGGCGGCCGUUGCGCGUGCGCGAUCCGUUCGAGGAACGGGUCACGGGUGCACCGUCUUCACGCCGUGGGAGGAGGCUCUCUUGCUGUCCCAGGAUGGGACGUGAGCCUGGCUGACGACGUGACUGCUGCGCCCGCCCGCCUGCCACCGCCAUUACUGCUGGUCCACUUUUGGCCGCUUUGACCAACGCGCCAGGCUGGCGCUGCUGGGUCGUGCGCUGGGUCGCCUCGAGUCGCGGCAUAGGCUCCGCAACCGAAGAGGUGCGACGGUGGCACAAGUGGCGGUGCGGUUGCUUGCAUGCAGCAACUGGCGUGCCGGUUGCUUGACGCGUGGGCCUGGGCUUCCAAGCUGGCGUGUCAGAAGUCAGAGAAGCACGUCCACCUGGCGCGGUUGCAUGCCGCCUGCAUGGCUGCCCGCCCCUUCCGCCCGUUGGUCUGGGCAAAAGUGGGGGGUCGCUUGUAACCGCUGGGCGGUCGUGCGCACCACGCGCGGCGGUUUGGCUUCUUCUGCCCUGAGCCGGUUUGCAUGACAUGCGGGACCCAGCCCCCGAGUCGCAGGGGAGGGCCUUGGAGCGUGUUGGAGAAGACUCAGCCCGUGGCGUCUGGGGGCGCACGUAGGGAGAGUUGCCUUUAAAAGGAGGGAGACUCCUUUCAGAAGGCAACCAUGUCUUCUUCCUCCCUUAUGCGUCGUGUCUUUCCAUCUUCCAAGCCCCCGGAUGGGGGGUAUCCGCCGCCUUUCCGCCUCCUCGUUGGAGGAACGCAACUCCAUGGGAGUUGGUACCUCUCAGCCAUCGUUCGGCUUCAAGGAUUUUCAUCAUGCAGCCCGGCUGCACCCCUCCACCGGCGGUCACCCGAGAUGGCGACCUCCGGCUUGAUGGUGGGGGAAAGCGAGCCGGGCUGCGGCCUCUGCCCCUCCCUCAGCCUCAAGGAUUUUCAUCACCAGGGCUGGGGAGGGGAGUGCGCCGAGUUGAGGUCGGCCCCCGCGUGGGCGGCGGCCCGCUCCUUCACUCAGUGAUGGGGGGGAGGAGCGGUUGUUGUCCGUGGCGCUGGCAGCUGCAGCGUGCCCGGUCUUCAGACGCGAGUGGCUUCGGAGCCGCUCGCGGCGCCGGCGUCCGCCACGGCAGCUGGAAGAGGUUCUUCCGCCGGCGCGAUAGCCGGGGCCGGCCACGAACUGACCUCCAACUCUACGGCCUUCUGCCCGUCCUUGCCUCACGAGUUUUGGCGUGGGCGGGGGCCUCCUGGCAGCAGCAUCCGCCCUGAGGUCAGUGCUGCCGCUGUUCGACCCCCCGGAGCAGAAGUCGUCGUCGUCGCCGCUGCUGGAGUAGGUGACGGCGCGCCGUUCGCGGCCUUCCGUUGCUCCGCAGGCCUUCCCCCUCGGAGUGGGGUUGUUCGUACCUGCGGAGGGGGAACCGGAGUUCCGUUUGUAAUGGCAUCUCGAAUGCCGGUGUGUUUGUUCAUUGCGGCUGUCGGGGCCUGAACAUGUAUGUAAUUUUGGCACGGAGCCGUGUUUUUUCCUCAUUUUUGAGCACUAAGUCUCGCCUGUUGAUUAUCUGAACCGCUUUACCAAGCAUGAGUCGCCCCGUGUCAAGGUGACGAGUGAGGUAUCCGUAUCCCGGAGGCGUAGGAAUCCCUCGGCUCGAUCGGCCUUGUUGUCUGGGGCUCCUCUAGCUUAGUUCAAGAGACCCCUCGGCCGCUCUUCGAUGAGCCGAGGCCAGGGGUAGCGAUAUCAGUAUGAACAGAGGCGGAGUUGGCUCGAGAAUGGGAACCUGGUUGGCCGGAGCCUAGCCGGGUUGUCCGUCAGCGGAGCCGACGCCGGAGUCGAUCAGCCGAGGCCUCGGGUCGGGCUGGCGCCCUUGGAAGAUGCUUGGCCGGGGCCUCAGGGGUAACCGGCCGAGCCGCCUGCUCGGGCCGGAUUCCCAGAGAAGUCCUUGAUCGCGUCGCCGUCCGAGGCUGGGUCGGACUUUGCUGAAGACGUCGUCGAUGCCGAGGGUGCUACGGCUCCCUUCAGCGUGAAGACCCGAGCCUGCAGGAUCAGAUCGUCUUGUAGCGUGUGCCUUCUGCGGCCGCCGAGGCCAGAAAAACACACCCUCGCCGUGCUUGCAAAGCUGCGUCCUUUUUCCUCUUGUUUCGAGCAUCUGGACUCUCUGUCGGUAACAGGGAUGUUUGUGUGAGCGAGAGUUGCUUCUCGCGGAAGGGACGAGUGAGGUAUCCGUAUCCCAGAGGCGUGGGAGUCCCUCGGCUCGGUCGGCCUUGCCGCUUACACGUACUUUCACCCGUCCAUGAGGCCCUGUCCCCGACUUAGUCGAGAAAGCUUGAAGGACUUGCUUCGGCAGGAGAGCUUCCGAACGUGAAGACUUGUUCGGUCCACGGAGUCGCUUUAUCCGAACGCGAGUUACUUAUCGCAGAAGGUGAUGAGUGAGGUAUCCGUAUCCCGGAGGCGUAGGAGUCCCUCGGCUCGGUCAGCCUUGGCUGCUUACGUGUACUCCGUCGUUUCCAGGAACCGCUUUCCGAAGUAGUCAAGAAGCACGAAAGAAAUCCUGCUAAAAAGAGAUCCUUUUUCGAGGAAAAAUUCUACGCAGAGGGGGUCUCCCCCCUUUUAGCCCCCGAGGGAGGGUCGGGCUUUGCCGAGGCUAGGCCGACCCUUCCUUGACGACUAAACUUUGCGUAGGUGCGAGGUAUAUGAACAACUUGGAAACAUCUUAAGGGUAGAAGCGACGUAGCUGUUUGAUGUUCCAGGUGUUGCCGUAGAUCUCGCCUUGAUUGUUGGCCAGCUUGUAUGUUCCGGGCUUCAGAACUUUGGCGAUGACGAAUGGCCCUUCCUAGGGGGGCGUGAGUUUGUGCCUUCCCCGGGCGUCUUGCCGUAGUCGAAGCACCAGAUCGCCCACCUGGAGGUCUCGGGACCGGACCCCUCGGUCGUGGUAGCGUCGCAGGGACUGCUGGUACCACGCCGAGUGUAGUAAGGCCCUGUCCCGAGCCUCCUCCAGCUGGUCCAGCGAGUCUUCUCGGCUAGCUUGGUUGCUUUGGUCGGUGUAGGCCCUCGUCCUCGGGGAGCCGUAUUCCAGGUCAGUGGGCAAGAUGGCUUCGGCCCCGUAGACCAGGAAAACCGGUGUGAAACCCGUGGCACGACUCGGCGUCGUCCUUAGGCUCCAGACCACCGAGGGGAGUUCCUUCAUCCAUCGCUUGCCGAACUUGUUGAGGUCGUUGUAGAUCCGAGGCUUGAGCCCUUGUAGAAUCAUGUCGUUGGCACGCUCUACUUGCCCAUUCGACAUGGGAUGAGCCAUGGCGGCCCAGUCCACCCGGAUAUGGUGAUCCUCGCAAAAAUCCAAGAAUUUUUUGCCGGUGAACUGGGUACCGUUGUCGGUGAUGAUGGAGUUUGGGACCCCGAAGCGAUGGAUGAUGUUGGUGAAGAACGCCACCGCCUGCUCGGACCUGAUGCUGUUCAGGGGUCGGACCUCGAUCCACUUGGAGAAUUUGUCGAUGGCGACCAGCAGGUGCGUGUAGCCCCCGGGCGCCUUCUGCAAGGGACCGACGAGGUCCAGACCCCAUACAGCGAAAGGCCAGGUGAUGGGUAUCGUCUGCAGAGCCUGAGCGGGCAGGUGGGUCUGCUUCGCAUAGAAUUGGCACCCUUCGCAGGUGCGGACAAUUCUAGUGGCGUCAACCACCGCCGUUGGCCGGUAGAAGCCUUGCCGGAAAGCAUUCCCGGCAAGGGCUCGAGGCGCUGCAUGAUGGCCGCAAGCCCCCGAGUGUAUUUCUUGCAGUAGUUCCCGACCUUCGGCGAUGGAGAUGCAUCGCUGGAGGAUGCCCGAGGGGCUGCGAUGGUAGAGCUCCUCUUCAUCGCCCAGCAACACGAACGACUUGGCGCGUCGCGCUACCCGCCGAGCCUCGACUUGGUCGGGGGUAGCUCUCCUCGACGGAGAUAUUGCAGGUACGGGGCCUGCCAAUCUCGAUCAGGCGUGGCCCCGCUCUGCUCUUCCUCGACGUCCAGUGUCUCGCCCUCGGGGGCCGAGGGUACCUCGGGCUGAGCCGAGGGUGCCUCGGGCCGAGCCGAGGGCGCCUCGGCCUGAGCCGAGGGUGCCUCGGGCUCGGGCGCGUCGUCGAUCUUGACAGAGGGUCGAUGCAGAUCCCGGGAGAAAACGUCCGGGGGGACCGUCGUUCGCCCCGAGGCUAUUUUAGCCAGCUCGUCUGCGGUUUCGUUGUAGCGCCGAGCGAUGUGGUUGAGCUCGAGCCCGAAGAACUUGUCUUCCAGGCGCCGAACCUCGUCGCAGUAGGCCUCCAUCUUCGGGUCGCGGCAGUGGGAGUUCUUCAUGACUUGGUCGAUGACGAGCUGCGAAUCACCGCGGGCGUCGAGGCGUCUGACCCCUAGCUCGAUGGAGAUCUGCAACCCGUUGACCAGAGCUUCGUACUCGGCCACAUUGUUGGACGCCGGGAAAUGGAGGCGCAGCACGUAGCGCAUGUGCUUUCCAAGGGGCGAGAUGAAGAGCAGGCCCGCGCCGGCUCCUGUCUUCAUCAGCGACCCGUCGAAAAACAUGGUCCAGAGCUCCGGUUGGAUCGGAGCCGUCGGCAACUGGGUGUCGACCCAUUCGGCCACGAAGUCCGCCAACACCUGGGACUUGAUGGCCUUCCGAGGGGCGAACGAGAUCGUUUCGCCCAUGAUUUCCACCGCCCACUUUGCGAUCCUGCCCGAGGCCUCUCGGCACUGGAUGAUCUCCCCCAGGGGGAAGGAUGACACCACAGUUACCGGAUGAGACUCGAAGUAGUGUCGUAACUUCCGCCUUGUCAGGAUCACAGCAUACAGCAGCUUUUAAACUUGUGGGUAGCGGAUCUUGGUCUCGGACAGCACUUCGCUGACGAAGUAGACCGGUCUCUGAACGGGCAAUGCAUGCCCUUCCUCUUGCCUCUCAACCACAAUCGCGGCGCUAACCACCUGAGUGGUCGCGGCGACGUAGACCAAGAGGGCUUCUCCAUCCGCCGGGGGCACCAAGACAGGCGCCUUUGUAAGGAGCGCCUUCAGGUUCCCGAGGGCUUCCUCGGCCUCAGGGGUCCAAGCGAAACACUCGGCCUUCCUUAAGAGGCGGUACAGAGGCAGACCUCUUUCGCCGAGGCGUGAGAUGAAGCGGCUCAGGGCCGCGAGACAUCCCAUGACCCUCUGUACACCUUUUAAGUCCUUGAUGGGUCCCAUGCUGGUGAUGGCCGUGAUCUUCUCCGGGUUGGCUUCAAUGCCUCGCUCGGAGACGAUGAACCCCAGGAGCAUGCCCCGGGGCACCCCGAAGACACACUUCUCAGGAUUGAGCUUGACUCCUUUCGCCUUGAGACAUCGGAAUGUCACUUCAAGGUCGGAGAGGAGGUCGAAAGCCUUCCUUGUCUUGACUACGAUGUCAUCGACGUAGGCCUCGACUGUGCGACCGACGUGUUCGCCGAACACAUGGUUCAUGCACCGCUGGUACGUCGUGCCCGCAUUCCUCAAACCGAACGGUAUGGUGACAUAGCAGUACAUGCCGAACGGUGUGAUGAAAGAAGUCGCGAGCUGGUCGGACUCUUUCAUCCGGAUCUGGUGAUACCCUUAGUAGGCAUCGAGGAAGGACAGGGUUUCGCACCCAGCGGUGGAAUCCACGAUCUGAUCGAUGCGAGGCAGAGGGUAGGGAACCUUCGGACAUGCUUUGUUGAGACCAGUGUAGUCUACACACAUCCGCCAUUUCCCCCCUUUCUUCCUCACAAGCACAGGGUUGGCAAGCCAUUCGGGAUGGAAUACCUCUUUGAUGAACCCUGCUGCCAUUAGCUUGUGGAUCUCUUCGCCAAUCACUCUGCGCUUCUCCUCGUCGAAUCGGCGCAGAGGCUGCCUGACGGGUCGGGCUCCGGCCCGAAUAUCCAGCGAGUGCUCGGCGACAUCCCUCGGUAUGCCGGGCAUGUCCGAGGGACUCCACGCAAAGACGUCGGCGUUUGCGCGGAGAAAGUCGACGAGCACUGCUUCCUAUUUAGGGUCGAGCCCGGAACCGAUCUGGAUCUGCUUGGUGGUGUCGCCACUGGGGUCAAGAGGGACGGCCUUAACCGUCUCCGCUGGCUCGAAGUUGCCGGCAUGGCGCUUCACGUCUGGCACCUCCUUGGAGAGGUUCUCCAGGUCGGCGAUGAGGGCCUCGGACUCGACGAGGGCCUCGGCGUACUCCACGCACUCCACGUCGCAUUCGAACGCGUGUUUGUACGUGGGGCCGACGGUGAUGACCCCGUUGGGGCCCGACAUCUUGAGCUUCAGGUAGGUGUAGUUGGGGACGGCCAUGAACUUCGCGUAGCAUGGCCUCCCUAGUACGGCGUGGUAGGUUCCUCGGAACCCGACCACCUCGAACGUCAGGGUCUCCCUUCGGAAGUUGGAGGGCGUCCCGAAGCAGACGGGGAGGUCGAGUCGUCCGAGGGGCUGGACGCGCUUCCUAGGGAUGAUCCCGUGGAAGGGCGCAGCGCCUGCUCGGACGGAGGACAGAUCGACGCGCAGGAGCUUGAGGGUCUUGGCGUAGAUGAUGUUGAGGCAGCUGCCCCCAUCCAUCAGGACCUUGGUGAGCCUGACGUUGCCGACAACGGGGUCGACGACGAGCGGGUAUUUCCCCGGGCUCGGCACAUGGUCGGGGUGGUCGGCCUGGUCGAAGGUGAUGGGCUUGUCGGACCAGUCAAGGUAGACUGGCGCCGCCACCUUCACCGAGCAAACCUCCCGGCGCUCUUGCUUGCGAUGCCGAGCCGAGGCAUUCGCCGCAUGCCCUCCGUAGAUCAUGAAGCAGUCGCGGACCUCGGGGAAUUCUCCUGCUUGGUGAUCUUCGUUCUUGUCAUCGUCGCGGGCCCUGCCACCCUCGGCGGGUGGCCCGACCCUGUGGAAGUGACGCCGAAGCAUAACGCACUCCUCGAGGGUGUGCUUGACGGGCCCCUGAUGGUAGGGGCACGGCUCCUUGAGCAUCUUGUCGAAGAGGUUUGCACCUCCGGGGGGCUUCCGAGGGUUUUUGUACUCGGCGGCGGCGACAAGGUCCGCGUCAGCGGCGUCGCGUUUCGAUUGCGACUUCUUCUUGCCUUUCUUCUUGGCGCCACGCGGAGCAGACGCCUCAGGAGCCUCUUCCGAUGGGCGGCCCUGGGGCUGCUUGUCCUUUCGGAAGAUAGCCUCGACCGCCUCCUGGCCAGAGGCGAACUUGGUGGCGAUGUCCAUCAGCUCGCUCGCCCUGGUGGGGGUCUUGCGACCCAGCUUGCUCACCAGGUCGCGACAAGUGGUGCCGGCGAGGAACGCGCCGAUGACAUCCGAGUCGGUGAUGUUGGGCAGCUCGGUGCGCUGCUUCGAGAAUCGCCGGAUGUAGUCCCGGAGCGACUCCCCCGGCUGUUGCCGGCAGCUUCGAAGGUCCCAGGAAUUCCCGGGGCGCACGUAUGUGCCCUGGAAAUUGCCGGCGAAGGCUUGGACCAAGUCGUCCCAGUUGGAGAUCUGCCCCGGAGGCAGGUGCUCCAACCAGGCGCGAGCAGUGUCGGAGAGGAACAGGGGGAGGUUACGGAUGAUGAGGUUGUCGUCGUCCGUCCCACCCAGUUGGCAGGCCAGGCGGUAGUCCGUGAGCCACAGUUCCAGUCUCGUUUCCCCCGAGUACUUCGUGAUAGUAGUCGGGGGUCGGAACCGGGUCGGGAAUGGCGCCCGUCGGAUGGCCCGACUGAAGGCCUGCGGACUGGGUGGUUCGGGCGAGGGACUCCGAUCCUCCCCGCUGUCGUAGCGCCCCCCACGCCUGGGGUGGUAGCCUCGGCGCACCCUUUCGUCGAGGUGGGCCCGACAGUCGCGUCGAUGGUGCUCGUUGCCGAGGUGGCCCGGGGCCGCAGGCGCGGUGUUACGCGUGCGCCCGGUGUAGACCGAGGCUUCCCGCAUGAAUCGGGAAGUCGCGGCAUGAGGUUCCGAGGGAUAUCCCUGCCUUCGGGAGGCAGUGCUCUCGGCCCGUCGGGCCGCAGCGCCUUCCAGGAGAUUCUUGAGCUCUCCCUGGAUUCGCCGACCCUCGGUGGUUGAUGGCUCCGGCAUCGCGCGGAGGAGCAUCGCUGCGGCUGCCAGGUUCUGACCAACCCCGCUGGAUGCGGGCGGCGGCCUGACCCUGACAUAGUUGGCGACGCGAUGCUGGAGACCUUGGGGCAGGUGACGUAUUUCUCCGGCCAGGGGUUGGCCCGCCCAUACCUGCCCGACGUCCCGACGGAUCGGCUCAAGCGCUCCUGUUCCCUCGUUGAGCCUGGCCUGCGCCUCGCGGACUUGCUCGAGUUGUGGGUCGUAACCCCCCGCCGGAGCGGGGACCACAGCUAGCUCCCGUGGGAUGUCGGCGCGAGGCACCGGCCUAGGAAGAUCACCACCCUCCGGCAUGCCGAGAUGGUUGCCUUCGGAGGGAUCCCCUAGCUCGAUGUGGAAACAUUCGCGGCUUGGGCCGCAGCUCUCGUCGUCAAGGCUGCGGCUUCCGUCGGAACAGUCGGAGAGGCAGUAGUCACAUGCGGUCAUGAAGUCCCGCAUGGCACCGGGGUUGCCAAGUCCAGAGAAAUCCCAACAGAUGCUGGGAUCGUCAUCUUCCUCGGACCCAGAGGGCCCGUAGGUCGAGACGUCCGUCAACCGGUCCCAAGGCGACCGCAUACGAAACCCCAGUGGGGUUGCACUCGCCUCAAUGAGAGCGCCCGCCAAAGCGAGGUCGUUUGGCGGGUUGAGGCCGAGUCGAAAUGACGUAAGAUGGGAGUUAGUCGGUACCUUUUGGUCGACGAGGAGCGACGUAGUCACAUCGGGGAUUGGUUGCACCGUCAUCCCAGGUACGAGGGCGACGUCCUGCAGGCUUUCCGCGAGCGCGCUGGCGUCGUCUUCUUGCUCGGGAUCAGCGUGUCGCGGGGGGACGGCGCUUGCCUUCGUCUCGAACGCGAGGUCGACGUCCGGCGUGCCUUCCGUCGGGGCGUCGGGGGCGUCGAUUCGCUCGACGGCCAACGAAGCGCGGCCUCCCGCUUGGCCUUGAUGGCCCCGCCUCCUCCUCCGUUGGCGGGGGAGAAAACGGAGCGAGCUCGAAUGUUGUUCUUCCACCACGCGGGGAAGGUGUCGUCGAUUCCGCCGCCGGCGGGCGGGUUGUCGGCCGCCAUUGUCGUUGUCGCGCGGCGGUGGAAGAAGUAUCAUGUCGUAGCUGCCGUCGAAGGACAUGAACUCAAGAGUCCCGAAACGAAGCACCGUCCCGGGCCGGAGAAGUUGCUGGAGACUGCCCAUCUGGAGCUUGACGGGGAGCUGUUCGUCAGCACGCAGCAGGCCCCUACCUGGCGCGCCAACUGUCAGCGUUUCGAGACAGGGGGGUCCCUAAGGCGACGAGUGAGUGUGCUGCGUGCCCCAGCCCAGAUGGGUCGAGCGCGUGGGCGAGCGCGAAGGGGGGAGAGGCGAGGUGGCCGGAGUCGGGCGUGAGAGAGGUGGAAGUCCCGCGGCCUUCGUGUUCGUCCCGCGCCCAGGUCGGGUGCGCUUGCAUUAGGGGGGUUACAAGCGUCCACGCGGGUGAGGGAAGCGAGCGGCCCCAAGAGAGCGCCUGUCCCGUCCUCGGUCCCGCGCGGCCAACCUUCUCUAAGAAGGCCCUGGUCCUCCCUUUUAUAGUCGUAAGGAGAGGAUCCAGGUGUACAAUGGGGGGGUGUAGCAGAGUGCUACGUGUCUAGCGGAGAGAGAGCUAGCGCCCUAGGUACAUGCCAAUGUGGCAGCCGGAGAGGUCUUGGCACCUUGCUGGCGUGAUGUUGUGGCUGUCGGAGGAGCGACGGAGCCUGGCGGAGGGACAGCUGUUGGAGCGGUCGAGUCCUUGCUGACGUCGCCCUGCUUCCGUAAGAGAGCUGAGGGCCGCCGUCGUCACAGAGCUCAUGGAGCGCCAUCAUUGCCCAUCCGGCGGAGCUGGCCGGAUGGGACGCCGGUCUUGUUCUCCGUGUCUCGAGUCGAUUCGGGGUAGGACGAUGAUGGUGCUUCCUGUUGACGUGGCGGGCCUGUGCCCUAGGCAGGGCGACGUGGGGGCUCCUCCGAAGCUGAGGUCGAGUCUGUCUUCCGUUGCCGAGGCCGAGCCCGAGCCCCCGGGUCGGACGAGGCGGAGAUCGUUUGGCCGAGGCCAGGGCGGAGUCCGAGCCCUGGGGUCGGGCGAGGCGGAGUUCGUCGUCUUCCGGGUCUUAGCCCGAGUCUGAGCCCUGGGGUCGGGCGGAGCGGAGUUCGUCGUCUUCCGGGUCUUAGCCCGAGUCCGAGCCCUGGGGUCGGGCGGAGCGGAGUUCGCCGUCUUCCGGGUCUUAGCCCGAGUCCGAGCCCUGGGGUCGGGCGGAGCGGAGUUCGCCGUCUUCCGGGUCUUAGCCCGAGUCCGAGCCCUGGGGUCGGGAGGAGCGGAGUUCGCUAUGGCGCCUUUGGCAAGGCCUGACUGCCUGUCAGACUCACUCUGUCGAGUGGCACUGCAGUCGGAGUGGCGCAGGCGGCGCUGUCCUUCUGUCAGACUGGUCAGUGGAGCGGUGGAGUGACGGCGGUCACUUCGGCUCUGCCGGGGGGCGCGUGUCAGGAUAAAGGUGUCAGGCCACCUUUGCGUUAAAUGCUCCUGCAACUUGGUCAGUCGGUGUGGCGAUUUAGUCAGGGUUGCUUCUGAGCGAAGCCAAGGCCUCGGGCGAGCCGGUGGUGUGUCCGCCGUUAAAAGGGGGGCCUCGGGCGAGACGGAAGUCUCUCGAGGUCGGCUGCCCUCGGCCGAGGCUAGGCUCGGGUGAAGCGUGAUCGAGUCACUCGUGUGGACUGAUCCCUGACUUAAUCGUACCCAUCAGGCCUUUGCAGCUUUAUGCUGAUGGGGGUUACCAGCUGAGAAUUAGGCGUCUUGAGGGUACCCCUAAUUAUGGUCCCCGACAAUUCUUGUUGAAGAUUUUGGUGAGGCAAUGGGGUUAAAAGGCCAAGAUUGAUCCCGUUUUGGUGCUUGAUGCCAAAGGGGGAGAAAAUAAAGGCCAAAGCAAUAAAUGGAUCAGCUACCACUUGAGAAAUAUUGAAAAUAGUAAAAUAGAGCUUUUGUUCUGUCAAAACUCUUGCAUUGUCUCUUUUGUCAAAAGUUGGCCUCUUGUGGGGAGAAGUGUUGAUUAUGGGAAAUAGGGGGAGUUUUUGAAAUCUUUGAUCAAUCUCUUUUGGAAUGACUCUCUUUAUGCUUCAACAUGUGUGUUUGACUUAGAGAUAGAGAUUUGAGUUUGAUUUGCAAAAACAAACCAAGUGGUGGGAAAGGAUGAUCCAUAUAUGCCAAAAUUGAAUCAAAAUAAAUUUGAAUUUUAUUUGAAGUGAUAUUGCACUUGUUCUAGUUGCUUUAUGUUGUGUUGGCAUAAAUCACCAAAAAGGGGGAGAUUGAAAGGGAAAUGUGCCCUUGGGCCAUUUCUAAGUAUUGUGGUGAUUGAGUGCCAACACAAGUGCUUAAAUGUGAAUUUAUGCUCAUAGAUGGACAAAGUGCAAAUCAAGAGUAAAGGUAUGUUUCUAAGCCUUAGUACAUUGGUUUUGUGUACUAAUAUACUUGUCUAAGUGUUAGAAACAGAAAGAAGAAGAAAAGAAAAGAGGUGAAAAAGGACUGGCUGUGUACAGCCAAGACUCAGCUCAGUCUGGCACACCGGACUGUCCGGUGGUGCACCGGAUAGUGUCCGGUGCGUCAGGAUGACUCGGCGUGAAGUGGCCGCUCUCGGGAAUUUACCGGCGACGUACGGCUAUAAUUCACUGGACUGUCCGGUGUGCACCGGACUGUCCGGUGAGCCAACGGUCGGCCGCGCGAUCUGCGCGGGACACGUGGCCGAGCCAACGGCUAGAAGGGAGCACCGGACUGUCCGGUGUGCACCGGACAUGUCCGGUGCGCCAACGGCUCCAAGUCAGCCAACGGUCGACUUCGCCAUUUAAGGAAGGAAAUCGGGCACCGGACAGUGUCCGGUGUGCACCGGACUGUCCGGUGCGCCACACGACAGAAGGCAAGAAUUGCCUUCCCUGUUUGCUCUCAACGGCUCCUAGCUGCCUUGGGGCUAUAAAAGGGACCCCUAGGCGCAUGGAGGAGAAAAACAAGCAACCUAAGAGCAUUCUUGAUCAUCCACACUCAGUCUUUGCGCAUUCGUUUGUCAUUCUCAGUGAUUCGAGCUCCGUUCUAGUGAGAACUUUGAGAUAGUCAUUUGAGCUCGAUUCUUGGCCGUGUGUGUGCGUAUUUUGCUGUGGAUUUGUGUGUGUUGCUUCCCUCCCUUACUUCGUAUUUCUUUGUGAAUCUCAAGUGUAAGGGCGAGAGACUCCAAGUUGUGGAGAUUCCUCGCAAACGGGAAAAGAUCAAAGUAAAGAAAAACACUGUGGUAUUCAAGUUGAUCAUUGGAUCACUUGAGAGGAGUUGAGUGCAACUCUCGUCCGUUGGGACGCCACAACGUGGAGUAGGCAAGCGUUGGUCUUGGCCGAACCACGGGAUAAACCACUGUGUCAUCUCUAUGUUUGAUCUCUUGUGGUAUUGUGUUUUGUUGAGACUCCUCUCUAGCCACUUGGCGAUUAUUGUGCUAACACUUAACAAGUUUUUGUGGCUAUAAGUUUAAGUUUCACAGGAUCACCUAUUCACCCCCCCUCUAGGUGCUCUCAUUUACCCCUCUCCUUUUCCUGGCACAUCAUUCACAUGAUACUUUCCUAUCGUCCGAAUCUGGGUUGGUUUCCACUGCAUACUUUUCCUGCAGUUUGCUUAUUCGUUGUUUUGGUUUUCCAAUCUCAUUCUGUGUAACAUACAUCAUUGAUGAAUUAGACAGUGUGUUUAUGUGUAACCGUAUAUAAUGUUUGUCUUACAAUUCAUGAUGUUGUAUCAAUCCCAAUCUGUUUUUAUUACACACAGUUUUGGGUAAAACAAAACAUACAACAUUGAUAAAUUAGAUAGUGUGUUUAUGUGUGAAACUUAAUUAGGAUAAUCUUAUUACUUCUAGCUUGUGUUUAACUCUCUAAAUGUCCAUUUUCUGUCGUCCUUAGAGCAACUCCAACCAUAAGCCUUAUAGUUAGUGUUGGUGACUUGUUCUCAAAUGCUUCGAAUUAAGAACAAGGCAACAUGAAAAGUGUUACACAUUAAGGUCCUUCGUCCUUCGAAACAUUAUGUCCCUUCGGGAAUAAUGAUUUAGGACGAAGGUCAUCAUAGACAUACCUUCGGGAAUAUAAUAAGUAAUGCCGAAGGAUUCAUAUAAAGCAUCAAAUACAAACAUCAACAUAAAAUCAUUUCUAUUUUAUUAACAUGGAGAAAUAGAAAUGAUUUUAAAUUACAAAUGUACCUUUGGUCCUGAGAGAAGGUAAAAAGUACAAGCGUGAUGCAAAAGCCAAUGCCAAGUCAGCGUGAACAGUACGGGAGUACUGUUCAUCUAUUUAUAGACGCGGGACGCAGCCCACGUAAAAUUACAUCCAUGUCCAUUACAUUUGUUAACGGCUUAUGGAAAUCUGUCGAGGCCCCCGAAGUCUUUUCAUCUUUAAGUCGGUUCCCCCUUCUGCCAUCGCGCCGAAGCUUCCCUGCGCACAGCUUCGGCUACACUCGACCUUCGUCUGGUUCAGGCUUCGUCCUGGCCGUGCUCCAUAUUCAUAAUUCUGGAUCCGAAAAUACCUGUUCACAUAAUCCACUCGGAAAACAUUGUCAAAUCAUGUUUUUGAGGACCUUCGGAGGACGAAGGCCCCCAACAGUAGCCCCUCGCAAUAUUAAUUUGUAAAUAAUAAAUUCAGAUUGCGAUAUGGACGAAGGCCUUGAGCCGAAGGUCCGAAAAAACACCUUCCCUUUGCUAGAAUAGCAACAUCUACUGACAAGCGGGGCCUUUCAAUUUUCAACGCCCUAGGCGUAUAAAUAAGAUCACAUCGCGAACUGAUUUGGUACGCACACUUGCCUUCUGCUUCGGCCCACUAAAAUUUUUAGCUCUUGUGCACUAAGAUUUGCUGAUCUUUUUGAUUUUUAAGCUUCGGACUUAGAAACAGUUUUUGAGCGCUUCCGAAGAUGCCUGAAGGUAAGAAGAUCGCUGCUGAGACGAAGCUGAGUCUUGAGGAAGAAAAGAACUUGGGGUUCAUUAUGGCGAUGGCGGAGACCAAUACAGAGAAGAUCACCAAGGAAAUUCUUGAAGGUCUGUCCGAAGACACUGAUGACAGCGACAGUUUUGAUGUAGAAAGUGGCGGGGAAGAGGCCGAAGAUCGACCGUGGCGACCAAGUCACGCGGUUUUUGGGAAAACCGCCAUCAAACAGAGCCAUAUUGAUAAUAUGAGGGGGCGAUACUUUCGAGAUAUAACUAUUGUGAGGGCUGACGCUGGAGAAAAGACUACCCCCACCCCCGAAGAAGAUGAGGUCGUAAUCUUCCGAAGCUUUCUCAAAGCUGGGCUUCGAUUUCCCUUAAGCAACUUCGUUAUUGAGGUACUGAAAACAUUUCAAAUCUUCUUGCAUCAAAUUACUCCUGAAGCCAUUAUAAGAAUGGGGAUAUUUGUCUGGGCUGCAAGGAGCCAAGGUUUGGAACCAAACGCUAAAAGCUUCUGUAACAUUCAUGAGUUAUUAUACGAGACGAAGCCCUGGGGAAAGGAGCAAUAUCACAACAACUUUGGGUGCUACAGCUUCGGCGCGCGCUCCGGGUCAAGCUGCCCUGUGCCGACCUUUCGGAAGAGGUGGCCCGGAGCCUGGAUGACGGAAUGGUUUUAUGUGAAGAAUGACCUAUCAGAUCAAGAGAAUGUGAAGAAUAUCAUUAUGCGACCAAUCUGGCAACGCUUCGGUCUUCGAAGGCCGAAGGUCGAAAUGAACGAAGCUGCCGAAGAAUGCCAAAGGGCCUUCGGAGUAGUCUGCUCGUUUAUUGGGACAAGGGACUUGGUCCAAGAACAUAUUGCCUUCAGGGUAUGGCCACUUGCAGAAAAGUGGGAAAUGCCGAAGGAAACCAUCAAAGAGUCCGACGAAGGCGGACUAGUCAGAUUAAAAUACAUAUUCAAAUAUGGGGACAAAUUUGUCGAACCUGACGACGACUGGUUGAAAAGCAUUGAAAUAUUAAGUGACGAACUUCUUAGCGCAUAUUCGAAGGCUGAGAACACUGCGUUAUCAGCAGCCUUCGGAGGCCGAAAAAAGAAGAGACUCAAUCGGGUGUUUGAUGCAAUUGGGUUCUUUUACCCUGACUAUCGUUAUCCCACUCGAGGGCAGAAAAGAAAGAACACAACCUCUGCAGAAGAGGAAGCUGCAACUGCUCCUAGCGAGCCAGAAUCAAAGAGAAAGAGGAUAAAAGUCCUCACACACCGGCCACGCUAUAUUGAACCAGCUUCGGUGCCUGAGUUCACCGGAGAAGCUUCUUCGGCCACCGAAGCUGAACAGCCAACCUUGCUGCCAGAAACUGCAGAGAUGGCCGAAGCACCAUCCACAGAAAAAAUGGAAGAAGCGAAAAAGCCGACUAAGGAAAAAACAUUAGAAGUUUUGAGUCCUGCAGUAAAUAUUGAAACAGCAAAAAACCAAAAGGGGCCAUCAGUGACCCCAAAAAGGAAAAGAAUGGUAAAUGUACUAGACGUCUUGGAGACAAUUAAGUCUUCAAGCACAAUUCCAAAAAAGAGUGUUGAAGUUGCUGAAGCUUCUACUGAAGCUUCGGCUCAACAAGCUGAAGCUGAAGCUGGGCCUUCAGAGCCCUACAAGGAGCAACCUUUUGAAGCCGAAGCAAUAAAAAUUCCAGAACCAGUAUUAGUUGAAGAAACUGACACCGCCAUCCCCGAAGCACCUGCCAGCAUGCGUGAUUACAUGAUACGACAUGCUUCGGGGAAGAAGCUAUCUGAAGAAGAAACUCAUGAAGCCAUCCAUUAUGCAAAGGAACUAAAAUAUCCGAAGGGGGCAGUAAUAUUCAAUGGAACGAAUGAAGAUGACUUCUUAUACUGCCUGCCUGACAACAAAGAGCUAUCUGUCUGCCGAGAAAUGGCCAGAAGUAUUGGUUUCCCGAAGCUUGAAUCUGGAUUAAGCGCCAUGACGAAAGAAGAUCUCGCAGACAGUCUUGCGUACAACAGCCUGAAGGUAUAGGAAUUAAACACUUGAAAAACCCCCUUAUUUUUACGCAACUCAUUCCUUUUUUCUUAUAUGAAUUCUUUUUCGUAUAGGGCCUGAUCCUAAGCAACGCACUAAGAGCCCAAAAGAGCGCCGAAGAUGAAAGCUAUGAAAUUGCGUUUAAUAAUUUACGCUCCGAAGUUAUCAGACUGAGAAACGAAGCUUUGGAAAAAGAUAAAAUUCUGCUUACACUGGUAGAUAAAGUGAAAAAAGACGAAGCUGCUUCAAAGGCCCAGGCCGAAGCUCAAAAACGCGAGAUUAAAGAUCUUCAGAAACAGCUGGCUAGAGCUAAAGAGGAGCGCGCGCUUGAGGAAACGAAACGAGAACUUAGUGAUUUUAUGGUCAGCAAAUUGGAAUCAAAAGUUAAGGAGCUUCGCACAUCUCAGGGGAAAUGCUAUGUCAAAUCUGUAGAAUGUGUGAAUAAAAUUAAAUCCAGCUUCGCCAGCGUAGGCGCCUUUUCCAGCGAAGAGAAUUUCUCUCGAGGCAAUCCCGAAGGUCCGCUGGAAUGGAUUAGCCACGAAGCAGAGGCCUUCGAAGAGAUUCUGAACAGUCGUGGCGACAUAUGCGCUUUUUCGGGCGCCAGAGGAAUUGCUUCUGUCUUAGAGAAGAAAGGUUGCGGGCAUGUAAAAUUUUUAGCUCAAUCCGAAGCUACCUUAUCUUCCGAAGACGUCAAGGACCCCUCGGCCGAAGCAAGCGUGGUUGGUGGCAAAUUUUUUACUGAUAUCUGGAACGACGGCGGCCGAGGAAUGGCGCAAGAGAUCAUCCAAAGGAGCGAAAAAGGCAUUCAUGACGCCAGAAAAGUGGCAGAAGCUGCCGAAAGGAGUACAGAGCCCGAAAGGCAAUUAGGUACCAGUUAGUCGCUCUUAUUGUGUUGUAAUUUUUAUUCCAAACUUUGCUCAAGGUUUGCAAAAGUAAUGAAGAAAUGAUCUCUUCCCUCAGAAACUGCUGGAUCAAAUGUCGACGAAGAAAUUAAACAAAUGGCCGAAACUAUCUUGGACAAGGUUGUUGACCAACUUCUAAAUGAGGUCGCCGAAGAAGUAUUGAGAGAAGAUUAGAUGCUAUUUGGAAAAAUCAUUUAAAGUGUAAUCUAUGUAACACUUUGUACAUUUGAAUGUAAUAUACAAGUCUCCUUUCAUUAUUGAAUUCUUUACGAUGCAUGAAACAUUAAAUACAUACCAUUUUUGAGCCUUUGGCGAAAAAACACCUUCCCUUCUUUUCAUGCUUCGUGAAGAAGGCAUUCUCCGUUAAAAUUAUUCUGAUGAAUCACAUCCAUGCUUCGUCAAAACAUUCUUCGAAGCUAUACUCCGAAGCUAUACAACUUCGAUAUUGAUCUGAUAAAGCUCGCCCAUGUUUCGUAAAAAUAUUCUCCGAAGCUGUAUUCCGAAGCUGUACAAUUUCGAUGUCACUUUCUCAAAGCAUCCUUUCGAAGGUUGAGAGUAUCUCCUUCUCUUGCCAAAUGCAAUAUGAUGUAUGAUGCUUAUGCUAUGCAAAAUGAUGUGAUGAUGUUAUGUUAUGCAUGUGACAUUUGUUCCGGAGAUACACAUAAAAUAUAUUCGUAAGCUCUGCAUUCCCUUGGGAACGUCUUUGGAGCUUCUUCGUCUUUUACUUAGACGGUAUCAGCGUUGACUUUUCGCUGUAAGCCUCCCUUAGGAGCUUCUUCGCCUUUUACUUAGGCGGUAUCAGCGUUGACUUUUCGCUGUAAGCCUCCCUUAGGAGCUUCUUCGCCUUUUACUUAGGCGGUAUCAGCGUUGACUUUUCGCUGUAGGCUCUGCAUUCCUUUAGGAACGACUUCUGAGCAGAAAACUUACACUGCGCUCCCUUUGGAACGGCUUUUUGUGACUUCAUAAACUUACUCUGCGUUCCUUAGAACGACUUUCUGUUACUCCGAAGGAUUUUUAAUCCGAAGGUCCUCCUUGGUAACGGAAAAAGUUUUAAGCUUCAGCAACUUAGGCCUGUGGAGCAAAUAGAUUUUCCUCGUGGGAAACAACGAAAUUAUUACAUGAAAACUAUCAAUGUUUUUUGCUUCACAGAAAAUAAAACUGAAUAGAAAAGACUGCUAUCAAAGGUAGGAUAUGUCAAUAAAUGUGCUUCGACUCUGGCACAAUGCUGUUGACUGUGCGAGCUUCGGACUGUUCUCUGAAGUCCCUCUGAUGUGGAGCGUAUUGACUCCCUUCUGGCUGUUGACCUUGCUGCAAUGGAGGUGGAGGCGGAAGCUGCUGCCAGGAAGCUUGAGGUUGACUUGCCGAAGCUACAGAAGCCGCAGGGUGGUUGUCUAUGUAUUGUGGGACAUAAGGCGGAUGAAACGAAGCAGUAUGCAUAACCUGCUUCGACUGAGCUUGUUGAGAUGCAGCUUCGGCUAGUUCCUUUUGCUUCUGGAUUGUAACAUGGCACGUCCUAGUGGUGUGGCCCUUGCCCUCUCCACAGAAUAGGCAAAACAGUCUCCUUGGCUGAUCUCCGAAUCUUCCGCCGAAGCCCCUGGCGCCUCUGCCUCUUGGAGCUGGUGGCCGAAAGAAAGUUUGUUGUUGCCCCGAAGCCUGUGAGGAGCACUGCGGCCUGUUUUGCUGACUCCCCUUAUCAUCAUUCUGAGUGUUGUGAAUGGAACGGACAUGCCUCGGGUAGUAUCUUCCUCCGAAGCCCCUGGUCAUCUCAGAAAAUCUGAAGGCCUCCUCCCUUCUUUGGCGAAAGUCAUUGUCAGCACGAAUGUACUCAUCCAUCUUUUGGAGCAAUUUCUCCAAGGUCUGAGGAGGCUUCCGAGCAAAGUAUUGAGCUGCAGGUCCAGGACGGAGCCCCUUGAUCAUGGCUUCGAUAACGAUUUCAUUGGGCACCGUUGGCGCCUGCGCCCUCAAUCGUAAGAACCUUCGGACAUACGCCUGAAGGUAUUCUUCGUGAUCCUGAAUACACUGGAAGAGGGCUUGAGCUGUAACCGGCUUCGUUUGAAAUCCUUGAAAGCUGGUCAGUAACAUAUCCUUCAGCUUCUGCCAUGAAGUGAUUGUUCCUGGCCGAAGGGAGGAAUACCAGGUCUGAGCAACAUUCCUGACGGCCAUGACGAAAGACUUCGCCAUGAUUGCAGCGUUGCCCCCGUACGAAGACACUGUUGCUUCGUAGCUCAUCAAGAAUUGCUUCGGGUCGGAGUGGCCGUCAAACAUGGGGAGCUGGGGUGGCUUAUAGGAUGGAGGCCAAGGUGUAGCCUGCAGCUCAGCAGACAGAGGAGAAGCAUCAUCAAAAACAAAAUUUCCCUGAUGGAAAUUAUCAUACCAGUCGUCUUCGUUGACGAAGCCCUCCUGAUGGAGGUCUUUCUGAUGAGGCCUUCUGUUCUGCUCAUCGUGAGUGAGAUGGUGAACUUCCUCAGAAGCUUCGUCAAUUUGCCUUUGCAACUCAGCUAGGCGGGCCAUCUUCUCCUUCUUCCUCUGCACUUGUUGAUGUAGCAUCUCCAUCUCUCUGAUUUCUUGGUCUAGCUCUUCUUCCUCAAGCGUCGGGCUAACAGCUUUUCUCUUCUGGCUUCUGGCCUCCCGAAGAGAGACGGUCUCCUGGUUGUGGUCCAGCGGUUGUAGUGCUGCAGCCCCAGCCGCUGAAGCUUUCUUCGGCGCCAUAGCGAAGGUCUAUAGCUUCCGAAGGUGUUCACGAAGACUCGAAGUGGAAGUGAGUUCACCGGAGGUGGGCGCCAAUGUUGGUGACUUGUUCUCAAAUGCUUCGAAUUAAGAACAAGGCAACAUGAAAAGUGUUACACAUUAAGGUCCUUCGUCCUUCGAAACAUUAUGUCCCUUCGGGAAUAAUGAUUUAGGACGAAGGUCAUCAUAGACAUACCUUCGGGAAUAUAAUAAGUAAUGCCGAAGGAUUCAUAUAAAGCAUCAAAUACAAACAUCAACAUAAAAUCAUUUCUAUUUUAUUAACAUGGAGAAAUAGAAAUGAUUUUAAAUUACAAAUGUACCUUUGGUCCUGAGAGAAGGUAAAAAGUACAAGCGUGAUGCAAAAGCCAAUGCCAAGUCAGCGUGAACAGUACGGGAGUACUGUUCAUCUAUUUAUAGACGCGGGACGCAGCCCACGUAAAAUUACAUCCAUGUCCAUUACAUUUGUUAACGGCUUAUGGAAAUCUGUCGAGGCCCCCGAAGUCUUUUCAUCUUUAAGUCGGUUCCCCCUUCUGCCAUCGCGCCGAAGCUUCCCUGCGCACAGCUUCGGCUACACUCGACCUUCGUCUGGUUCAGGCUUCGUCCUGGCCGUGCUCCAUAUUCAUAAUUCUGGAUCCGAAAAUACCUGUUCACAUAAUCCACUCGGAAAACAUUGUCAAAUCAUGUUUUUGAGGACCUUCGGAGGACGAAGGCCCCCAACAGUUAGGCUCUAUAAUUUAAUUUACUACCUAUUCUAUUUGUUUUAUGGUUCAAAUUCAAUUGUCAAUUCCAGUCAUGGACCCUAAAAUGGCUUACGUUUGCAACUACCUCAUGUUCCUGUACGUAGUCCUCUCUGUUUCUCUCCCACUUUGCACGUCAUUCCCGCCUAGCUUUUUUCCGGUUGCUUCCAGAAAAUCGUCGAGCCCUCAUUAGCGGUUGCGACCGUGGGGAUGACAGACUUCAAUCCAUCAAGCACCUAGCAGAUCAAGAGGAGGGGAGAUGUGAGAUAAUAGACAAGAGCCUAGCAAAUCAAGAGAGGAGCUGGGAGACAAACCACGGGGAAGCAGGAUGAUGGAGAGAAGGCGAGCAAGAUGGAAAGGGGACGAUCAUCUUCCUCGGUGGCUCGUCACCGAGAAAC